Acanthochromis polyacanthus (spiny chromis) is the source of this 1430-nucleotide long non-coding RNA. RefSeq lists it as uncharacterized. Lineage: Eukaryota; Metazoa; Chordata; Actinopteri; Pomacentridae. The transcript has 2 exons. The record is from RefSeq and is a predicted model, not a curated record.
GUAUGUUUUGGUAAUUGGAUUUUCCGUUCUAAAGCAGGUAUUGAAAAACAAAAAACGAAUGGUUAUUUGAUUUUCGUUUUCAAAGGCAAAAAUUAAAAUUGAAAUACAAGGCGUUUUUCCUUUUCACGAUCAAAAAUGGAUAUACGAAUUUUAAAAAAUGCUUUGAUUUUCAUUUUUUAUUUACAAAAACAAAAAAUAAAAUAAGUCAGAGACAGAAACGAAAUAAGAACCGUUUUUCAUUUUCUGAGACCGGAAGUGGUCAUCAGCAAGGGUGGUCAGAUUGAAUCAGAGCCGAGGAGUCUCUGUCCCGCCCACAUUUACCGGCUUCUGCUGUUUAUGGACGCUGCUACCGCUGCUGCUAACAACGUUAGCUUCCAAAAGUGGAGAUAAACUCUACAGCCUUGGUCUGGAUCAUUGGGAACAUCUGAUCUGAUGGACUGAGAGCUACAGAGAACAUGAACAUCCAGCUGUGGUUCUCUGAACAGUCUUCUCUCCAUCGCUGUGAGGAAGAGCAGCACUGAUGCCCUCCUCAUGCUUCCAUUAAGAACAAUGAUGCUGCAGAUUCAGCUCCUCUCUUCAUAAUACUUGUCUUGUGACUGUUCAAUUUUUACACUUCACUGUCAGCAACACAUUAUUUAUUUCAUCCAUUUAUUACGUGUUUACACAUCUUUACAGUUCACAAUUGUUAAAUAAUGCAGUUUUUAAAUGUGCAAUGAAGGAAAUAAUGAAGCUCUUGAGCUGAAUGUGUUGAUGUUUUAAUGCUGCAUAUCUGCUAUAAAUAACAUUGUACAGGGUUUCUGCUGAUAUCAACCAGUCAAAUUUAAUGCUUUUUAAUGCCAUUUUUAUGCUAUACUGUAAAAAUUUAAUGCCACGACCAUGAACUCAAAAUACACGGGUUUGUUUUUUUUUUGUAAAAGAUGGUUUUUAUAUGAAAACCCUACAUUUGACUAUUUCUGAAUCUGGGAACCACCCCUGAACACCAACGGGCUGCAGUCAUUCUCUGAAAUCCACGUUUUUGAGCCAUUUUUGCUGGAAUUUGUGUUUCCCCAUUUCCCAGCCUGGUCCAGCCUGCCGGCCACUUUAAAAACAUGCAGUUUUUAGAAAUUGUACCCAACCGGCUGGAACAGUUAUCUCAGUGCUUCGGCAUGUUUACGCAGAUGCACAUACCUGACAAAUCGCAGUCUAUAAAUAUAUUAUUGUCAAUUAUUUUCUUGAAAACUGCAGAAAGAAAUUUUAAUGCCACCGAGAAUCAAAUUUAAUGAUUUUUAAUGCCAUUUAAAGCCUUAAUUUCUGCAAAAUCAACUUAAUGACUAUUAAUGUUCUGCAGAAACCCUGUUGUAUUUCUGCUACAGCAGCAGAGAUGAAGUUAAAGGUGAUAAAUAGAAUCUGUGAAUACUAAGAACAGAGAAUAAUAAACUGCUGAAAGAGUU